RNAcentral lists this ribosomal RNA (497 nucleotides) under uncultured bacterium. RNAcentral's name for it is "partial 16S ribosomal RNA". It matches the Rfam family "Bacterial small subunit ribosomal RNA", at positions 28 to 507 of the family's 1533-position model. The record is from RNAcentral.
GACGAACGCUGGCGGCGUGCCUAAUACAUGCAAGUUGAGCGAUGAAGAUUGGUGCUUGCACCAAUUUGAAGAGCAGCGAACGGGUGAGUAACGCGUGGGGAAUCUGCCUUUGAGCGGGGGACAACAUUUGGAAACGAAUGCUAAUACCGCAUAACAACUUUAAACAUAAGUUUUAAGUUUGAAAGAUGCAAUUGCAUCACUCAAAGAUGAUCCCGCGUUGUAUUAGCUAGUUGGUGAGGUAAAGGCUCACCAAGGCGAUGAUACAUAGCCGACCUGAGAGGGUGGACGGCCACAUUGGGAAUGAGAAACGGCCCAAAAUCCUACGGGGGGCAGCAGUAGGGAAACUUCGGCAAUGGACGAAAGUCUGAACGAGCAAAGCCGGGUGAGUGGAGAAGGUUUUCGGAUCGUAAAAAUCCGUUGGUAGAGAAGAAAGUUGGUGGGAGUGGAAAGCGCAUGAAGUGACGGUAACUACCCAGAAAGGGACGGCUAACUACGUG